RNAcentral lists this transfer RNA (94 nucleotides) under Nonomuraea sp. TT08I-71. RNAcentral describes it as "tRNA-Tyr". The record is from RNAcentral. Lineage: Bacteria; Bacillati; Actinomycetota; Actinomycetes; Streptosporangiales; Streptosporangiaceae.
AGCGUGGUAGCCGGCCGGGACGGGCGGGGUGCCGUAACCGCCCCCGGCGCCCCGGUCGAGCAGUUCGUCCGGUACGGCGGCGGACCGGGCCGCC